UUCGAAUCCUGCACGACCCACCAAUAUACAAGGUGGUAACUGGUAGAGAAUGUGAAGGAUAAUGUUGCUUUAGCAACGGCCCGAAGGGCGAGGCGAAGCCGAGUCAUCCUGCACGACCCACCA
Molecule: small RNA, 123 nt
Filed under: Salmonella enterica subsp. enterica serovar Kedougou
Lineage: Bacteria; Pseudomonadati; Pseudomonadota; Gammaproteobacteria; Enterobacterales; Enterobacteriaceae
Description: partial RtT sRNA
Rfam family: RtT RNA
About the family: This family represents a bacterial cis-regulatory element known as RtT RNA. The exact function of RtT is unknown although it is thought that it may be involved in changing the cellular response in relation to amino acid starvation.
Source: RNAcentral